This 253-nucleotide ribosomal RNA is filed under the name uncultured bacterium. RNAcentral's name for it is "partial 16S ribosomal RNA". It matches the Rfam family "Bacterial small subunit ribosomal RNA", at positions 524 to 776 of the family's 1533-position model. The record is from RNAcentral.
UCCGAAGGGUGCUAUCGUUGUUCGGAAUCACUGGGCGUAAAGCGUGCGUAGGCGGAUUGGUAAGUAAUGGGUGAAAUCCCCAGGCUCAACCAGGGAAAUGCGUAUUAAACUGAUAGUCUCGAGAUCCAAAGAGGCGAGUGGAAUUCCCAGUGUAGAGGUGAAAUGCGUAGAUAUUCGGAGGAACACCGGUGGCGAAGGCGGCGCCCUGGUUUGAUACUGACGCUGAGGUACGAAAGCGUGGGGAGCAAACAGG